RNAcentral lists this ribosomal RNA (530 nucleotides) under Bifidobacterium bifidum. Its description in RNAcentral is "bacterial SSU rRNA". It matches the Rfam family "Bacterial small subunit ribosomal RNA", at positions 158 to 700 of the family's 1533-position model. Lineage: Bacteria; Bacillati; Actinomycetota; Actinomycetes; Bifidobacteriales; Bifidobacteriaceae. The record is from RNAcentral.
GGGUGGUAAUGCCGGAUGUUCCACAUGAUCGCAUGUGAUUGUGGGAAAGAUUCUAUCGGCGUGGGAUGGGGUCGCGUCCUAUCAGCUUGUUGGUGAGGUAACGGCUCACCAAGGCUUCGACGGGUAGCCGGCCUGAGAGGGCGACCGGCCACAUUGGGACUGAGAUACGGCCCAGACUCCUACGGGAGGCAGCAGUGGGGAAUAUUGCACAAUGGGCGCAAGCCUGAUGCAGCGACGCCGCGUGAGGGAUGGAGGCCUUCGGGUUGUAAACCUCUUUUGUUUGGGAGCAAGCCUUCGGGUGAGUGUACCUUUCGAAUAAGCGCCGGCUAACUACGUGCCAGCAGCCGCGGUAAUACGUAGGGCGCAAGCGUUAUCCGGAUUUAUUGGGCGUAAAGGGCUCGUAGGCGGCUCGUCGCGUCCGGUGUGAAAGUCCAUCGCUUAACGGUGGAUCUGCGCCGGGUACGGGCGGGCUGGAGUGCGGUAGGGGAGACUGGAAUUCCCGGUGUAACGGUGGAAUGUGUAGAUAUCGG